RNAcentral lists this ribosomal RNA (200 nucleotides) under uncultured bacterium. RNAcentral describes it as "partial 16S ribosomal RNA". It matches the Rfam family "Bacterial small subunit ribosomal RNA", at positions 28 to 223 of the family's 1533-position model. The record is from RNAcentral.
GAUGAACGCUAGCGGCAGGCCUAACACAUGCAAGUCGAGGGGCAGCACGAUUGAGCUUGCUUAAUUGGUGGCGACCGGCGCACGGGUGCGUAACGCGUAUGCAAUCUACCUUAUACUGGGGUAUAGCCCGAAGAAAUUCGGAUUAAUCCCCCAUAGCAUUAUCGAUUCGCAUGUUUUGAUAAUUAAAGGUUACGGUAUAA